CCUACGGGGUGCUGCAGUCGAGAAUCAUUCACAAUGGGGGAAACCCUGAUGGUGCGACGCCGCGUGUGGGAAUGAAGGUCUUCGGAUUGUAAACCCCUGUCAUGUGGGAGCAAAUUAAAAAGAUAGUACCACAAGAGGAAGAGACGGCUCACUCUGUGCCAGCCGCCGCGGUAAUACAGAGGUGUCAAGCGUUGUUCGGAAUCACUGGGCGUACAGCGUGCGGAGGCCGUUUCGUAAGUCGUGUGUGAAAGGCGCGGGCUCAAACCGAGAACGGCACAUGAUACUGCGACACUAGAGUAAUGGAGGGGGAACCGGAAUUCUCGGUGUAGCAGUGAAAUGCGUAGAUAU
Molecule: ribosomal RNA, 348 nt
Filed under: uncultured bacterium
Lineage: Bacteria
Description: partial 16S ribosomal RNA
Rfam family: Bacterial small subunit ribosomal RNA
Source: RNAcentral